UGAAAAAGUAAAAAGAUCAAAAAGAAAAAUUUAAGAAAAUAAAGUUGAAGGAUAAACGAGUUGGAUUUUGAAAUAGAGUGCACCAAAAUAUCAAAUAGUGAGUCUGGGAGUGCGAGGGUAGGCGGGAGAAAUUGCUCCGAGCAACGUGGCUGAGUAAGAUGGCGGCGAUCAGGAAAGGGAGUGUGAGUUUAGAGGGAAAGAAGGUUAUACUAGUCCCUUAUAUGGAAUCUCAUGUCCCCAAAUAUCAUGAAUGGAUGCAAAACCCUUCUCUCCUUCAAGCCACUGCCUCCGAACCCCUUUCCCUCGAACAAGAGUAUCAGAUGCAACUCUCUUGGUCAUCUGAUCUCAACAAAGAGACCUUCAUUCUUUUGGAUAAGGAUUUGCUUCUUGGAACCUUCUCACACGGUCAACCUCACGUCGAAGCCAUGGUUGGUGAUGUAAAUAUUUUUAUGAAUGACAUCAAUAAUCCUCAAAUCGCUGAGAUUGAAAUUAUGAUUGCUGAACCUACCAGCCGUGGCAAAGGGCUUGGAAAGGAGUCUGUUCUGAUGAUGAUGGCCUUUGCUAUUGAAAAGUUAAGGAUCAAUCUCUUUGAGGUUAAAAUUGGAGAAUCAAAUGUAGAAUCCAUCAACUUGUUCAAAAAAUUGGGGUUUGUGGAAACUUCACAUAGCAACAUUUUCAAAGAGGUGACUUUGGAGUUGCAAAUAACACAAGCCAAGAGUGAGGAGAUGCUUGGUUUGAUGGAAGAAGUUCCCAGAGAUGAAAGCUCAUAGUAUAUUGGCUUUGAAUGAGCCAUACAAGAUAGAGAUUUUGGAAGGCUUUAAGGAAGAACCCAUCACAAUUUAUCAUAUCGCCAUUUGCAAAAUUUCGUACGUCUUCUGGUAGAUGUUUGGCCGACUACUGUUUGUACACUUUUUCACAUCAAAAUACACUUUCAACUACCUACUUAUGGAGGAGGAGAUCGUAAAUCCUUUUGUUCAAGGAGAAAGUUCUUAAGUCCAGAAUAAUCAGUCUGAAGAAUUAUAGAACAUCCAGCAUGCUUAUCGACUAAAUGGAAAAAUUUAUUUGAAGUGGGUCCAACUUAUUCGUACUGUGUUAAAAGGAAAAGGUAAACUCAGUCACUUAACUGGUACUGGACCAGUAGAGGGAGAUCCAACCAUUAUUGCAUGGGAUGAGGAGGACUCGAUGAUUAUGGCAUGACUAUCGAACUCAAUGAUUCCAGAAAUUAGUGAUACUUGCAUGUUUCUUAGCACUGCAAAAGAAAUUUGGGAUGCAAUAGAGCAAACUUAUUCGAAGGCCAUAGAUGUUGCUUAAGUUUAUGAUGUGAAGUGAAAACAAUUGCUGCUAAGUAAGAAAAUAAAUCUGUUACAUAAUAUGCCAACAAAUUGAAGUCUCUUUGGAUGGAAUUGGAUCACUAUAGAGUGAUAAAAACUAUUGUGCAGCAGACUCAUCAAUCCUUAAAAGAGUUUAUUGAACAAGAUAGGGUUUAUGACUUUCUUGUGGGAUUAAAUUCUGAUUUUGAUCAGGUAAGAAUUCAGAUUCUAGAAAAGCCUCAAGUUCCUUCCUUAAAUGAGGUUGUUGCCAUCGUAAGAAGUGAGGAGAGUAGAACAAACUUAAGGUUAGAUACCCUAUCCAUUGAAAGUUCAUCCAUGAUUGUUGAAAAUCUUAAAGGUGGGGGACAAGCAAAGGUGGAAAAGAAGGGUGAAUUGUGGUGUACUUACUGCAAUAAGCCGCGACAUAUACGUGAGAAGUGUUGGAAGUUGCAUGGAAAACCUCCUAGUCGUGAAGAAGGAUAAAGAUGAGGCAUUCUCGGGGGUGUAUCUCGCAAAAAUAGUAGGGCUUAUGCUGCUGAAGUGGGGUGUUUAAUAAACAAUGUAUGAUCUCCAUUACUUUGUUUGUAACCUAAUGUUGUCAUAGCCUUAGUAAACAUUCUAAACCAUGCCCAAGGUGAAUGUUCCAAUCCAUAUAAUGUCUUUUGCUACUUACAAACAGAAUUGCCAGCAAACAUUUUUUCUUA
RNA transcript from Lathyrus oleraceus (garden pea), 2014 nucleotides. RefSeq lists it as uncharacterized. The record is from RefSeq and is a predicted model, not a curated record. The transcript is spliced from 7 exons. Lineage: Eukaryota; Viridiplantae; Streptophyta; Magnoliopsida; Fabales; Fabaceae.